GACGAACGCUGGCGGCGUGCUUAACACAUGCAAGUCGAACGAUGAACCCGGAGCUUGCUCCGGCGGAUUAGUGGCGAACGGGUGAGUAACACGUGGGUGAUCUGCCCUGCACUUCGGGAUAAGCCUGGGAAACUGGGUCUAAUACCGGAUAGGACCACUGCCUGCAUGGGUGGUGGUGGAAAGCUUUUGCGGUGUGGGAUGGGCCCGCGGCCUAUCAGCUUGUUGGUGGGGUGAUGGCCUACCAAGGCGACGACGGGUAGCCGGCCUGAGAGGGUGACCGGCCACACUGGGACUGAGAUACGGCCCAGACUCCUACGGGAGGCAGCAGUGGGGAAUAUUGCACAAUGGGCGCAAGCCUGAUGCAGCGACGCCGCGUGAGGGAUGACGGCCUUCGGGUUGUAAACCUCUUUCAGCACCGACGAAGCGCAAGUGACGGUAGGUGCAGAAGAAGGACCGGCCAACUACAUGCCAGCCGCCGCCGUAA
Molecule: ribosomal RNA, 484 nt
Filed under: uncultured bacterium
Lineage: Bacteria
Description: partial 16S ribosomal RNA
Rfam family: Bacterial small subunit ribosomal RNA
Source: RNAcentral